GGCACGAUGGCUGAGCGGUAAAGCACUUGGCUUCUGAACUGGGGGUCCCGGGUUUGAAUCCUGGUGAAGUCU
Biomphalaria glabrata is the source of this 72-nucleotide non-coding RNA. The record is from Rfam. NCBI's taxonomy places the organism in Eukaryota, Metazoa, Mollusca, Gastropoda, Planorbidae.